Molecule: ribosomal RNA, 459 nt
Filed under: uncultured bacterium
Lineage: Bacteria
Description: partial 16S ribosomal RNA
Rfam family: Bacterial small subunit ribosomal RNA
Source: RNAcentral
CCUACGGGUGGCAGCAGUGAGGAAUCUUGGUCAAUGGCCGAGAGGCUGAACCAGCCAAGUCGCGUGAGGGAAGAAUGUCCUAUGGAUUGUAAACCUCUUUUGUCAGGGAGCAAAGUCACCCAAGUGUGGGUGUUGGAGAGUACCUGAAGAAAAAGCAUCGGCUAACUCCGUGCCAGCAGCCGCGGUAAGACGGAGGAUGCGAGCUUUAUCCGGAUUCAUGGGGUUAAAAGGGUGCGUAGGCGGGUAAUAAAGUCAGCGGUAAAAUCGUGGAGCUCAACUCCAUCCAGCCGUUGAAACUGAUGAUCUUGAGUGGGGGAGAGGUAUGCGGAAUGCGUGGUGUAGCGGUGAAAUGCGUAGAUAUCGCGAAGAACUCCAGUGGCGAAGGCAGCAUACCGGCGCCCAACUGACGCUGAAGCACGAAAGCGUGGGUAGCGAACAGGAUUAGAUACCCGAGUAGUC